This 85-nucleotide transfer RNA is filed under the name Poecillastra laminaris. RNAcentral's name for it is "tRNA-Ser". It matches the Rfam family "tRNA". From Rfam's summary of the family: Transfer RNA (tRNA) molecules are approximately 80 nucleotides in length. Their secondary structure includes four short double-helical elements and three loops (D, anti-codon, and T loops). Further hydrogen bonds mediate the characteristic L-shaped molecular structure. tRNAs have two regions of fundamental functional importance: the anti-codon, which is responsible for specific mRNA codon recognition, and the 3' end, to which the tRNAs corresponding amino acid is attached (by aminoacyl-tRNA synthetases). tRNAs cope with the degeneracy of the genetic code in two manners: having more than one tRNA (with a specific anti-codon) for a particular amino acid; and 'wobble' base-pairing, i.e. permitting non-standard base-pairing at the 3rd anti-codon position. Lineage: Eukaryota; Metazoa; Porifera; Demospongiae; Tetractinellida; Vulcanellidae. The record is from RNAcentral.
GAUGAGAUGACUGAGAAGGUAAGGUGGUAGUUUGCUAAAUUACUAAAGUUUAGGCUUUGCAUGGGUUCGAGUCCCAUUCUUAUCG